RNAcentral lists this ribosomal RNA (501 nucleotides) under uncultured bacterium. Its description in RNAcentral is "bacterial SSU rRNA". It matches the Rfam family "Bacterial small subunit ribosomal RNA", at positions 8 to 526 of the family's 1533-position model. The record is from RNAcentral.
AGAGUUUGAUCCUGGCUCAGAAUGAACGUUGGCGGCGUGGAUUAGGCAUGCAAGUCGUACGCUUUAUGUAGCAAUACAUGAGGAGUGGCGAAAGGGAGAGUAAUGCAUGGUUAGCUACCCCCGGGACUGGGAUAGCGGCGGGAAACUGCCGGUAAUACCAGAUGACAUCUGCGGAUCAAAGGUGUAAAUCCGCCCGGGGAGGCGACCGUGUCCUAUCAGCUAGUUGGCGGUGUAAUAGACCACCAAGGCAAAGACGGGUAUGGGGCGUGAGAGCGUGCCCCCACUCACUGGGACUGAGACACUGCCCAGACACCUACGGGUGGCUGCAGUCGAGAAUCUUCGGCAAUGGGCGCAAGCCUGACCGAGCGACGCCGCGUGCGGGAUGAAGGCCUUCGGGUUGUAAACCGCUGUCGUAGGGGAGGAAGGUCGCGUGUAGAACGCGGCUUGACCGAUCCUAGGAGGAAGGGCCGGCUAAUCUCGUGCCAGCCGCCGCGGUAAUAC